Molecule: ribosomal RNA, 253 nt
Filed under: uncultured bacterium
Lineage: Bacteria
Description: partial 16S ribosomal RNA
Rfam family: Bacterial small subunit ribosomal RNA
Source: RNAcentral
UACGUAGGUGGCAAGCGUUGUCCGGAUUUAUUGGGUUUAAAGGGUGCGUAGGCGGUCUUUUAAGUCAGUGCUGAAAUACUCCAGCUUAACUGGAGGGGUGGCAUUGAUACUGGAAGACUUGAGUGCAGUCGAGGUAGGCGGAAUUGACGGUGUAGCGGUGAAAUGCUUAGAUAUCGGGAGGAACACCAGUGGCGAAGGCGACUACCUGGCCUGUUCUUGACGCUGAGGCGCGAAAGCCAGGGGAGCAAACGGG